This 116-nucleotide ribosomal RNA is filed under the name Pteropus alecto (black flying fox). The record is from RNAcentral. Lineage: Eukaryota; Metazoa; Chordata; Mammalia; Chiroptera; Pteropodidae.
GUCUACGGCCAUGCCACCCUGAACAAGCCUGAUGUCUGAUCUCGGAAGCUAAGCAGGGUCGGGCCUGGUUAGUACUUGGAUGGGAGACCACCUAGGAAGACCAGGUGCUAUAGGCA